This 76-nucleotide transfer RNA is filed under the name Acidobacteriota bacterium. RNAcentral's name for it is "tRNA-Ile". It matches the Rfam family "tRNA". Rfam says of the family: Transfer RNA (tRNA) molecules are approximately 80 nucleotides in length. Their secondary structure includes four short double-helical elements and three loops (D, anti-codon, and T loops). RNAcentral also lists the same sequence under 2 other names. The record is from RNAcentral. Lineage: Bacteria; Pseudomonadati; Acidobacteriota.
AGGGCCGUAGCUCAGUGGUCAGAGCAGGGGACUCAUAAUCCCUCGGUCGUGGGUUCGAUCCCCACCGGCCCUACCA